This 252-nucleotide ribosomal RNA is filed under the name uncultured bacterium. Its description in RNAcentral is "partial 16S ribosomal RNA". It matches the Rfam family "Bacterial small subunit ribosomal RNA", at positions 524 to 776 of the family's 1533-position model. The record is from RNAcentral.
UACGUAGGUCCCGAGCGUUGUCCGGAUUUAUUGGGCGUAAAGCGAGCGCAGGUGGUUUAUUAAGUCUGGUGUAAAAGGCAGUGGCUCAACCAUUGUAUGCAUUGGAAACUGGUAGACUUGAGUGCAGGAGAGGAGAGUGGAAUUCCAUGUGUAGCGGUGAGAUGCGUAGAUAUAUGGAGGAACACCGGUGGCGAAGGCGGCCACCUGGACGACAACUGACGCUGAGGUGCGAAAGCGUGGGUAGCAAACAGG